Molecule: ribosomal RNA, 253 nt
Filed under: uncultured bacterium
Lineage: Bacteria
Description: partial 16S ribosomal RNA
Rfam family: Bacterial small subunit ribosomal RNA
Source: RNAcentral
UACGUAGGGUGCAAGCGUUAUCCGGAAUUACUGGGCGUAAAGCGUGCGUAGGCGGAUUUUUAAGUCGAGUGUUAAAUCCACAGGCUCAACUUGUGGGCUGCAUUCGAUACUGGAAGUCUUGAGAGUGGAAGAGGCAGACGGAAUUCACGGUGGAGCGGUUAAAUGCGUAGAUAUCGUGAAGAACACCAAUGGCGAAGGCAGUCUGCUGGGCCACUUCUGACGCUAAGGCACGAAAGCGUGGGGAGCGAUCGGG